RNAcentral lists this long non-coding RNA (2045 nucleotides) under Zea mays. RNAcentral describes it as "long non-coding RNA (ZMAY_LNC000236)". The record is from RNAcentral. Lineage: Eukaryota; Viridiplantae; Streptophyta; Magnoliopsida; Poales; Poaceae.
AAAUUUCUUCACAGCGUCGCCGACCGUGAGGAAUAUCUUGUCUUCACCAAUCAUGUCCGUGAAUUUCGCUGAGCGGAGCUUCUGGAUCACCGCCGGCCCGGGAUUGGUAAGAACCAGCUGUAAGUAAAAGGAACAGAUUUUGAUCUUAGUGAGGUGUUCUUCUUCUUCAGUGACAAUUUCUAUGUUGACGAGCACCACUACCAGACUCCUAGUAGUUGUAAUUGCUUGUUAUGAGAUCUGGCGUCUUACCUGAAUUUUGCGUUUUUCAAGAGCUUUCGCCAACUCCUCCAAAGCAUGGAUUCCACUUGUGUCGAUAUCAAUUACAGCUGUUGAGAACCAGAACAAUGUUUUCGAUCACUAUAUUGGAACAUACAUAAAAAGAUAGCAUAUACUCAGAUAUGUUCUUGUGACUUACGAGACAGGUCAACAAUUAGAAACUCAGUUUUUGUUAACUUCUGGUCCUGUUGUUGCUCCUCCUCAUCUCUUAGCCACCUCAGGAUUCUGAAAUUUAGAUUCUAUUUAAGCACUGCUUUCCCUCUUUAGCUGAUUCUUCUAAUCACUAGCGUCUUAUGCUUUCAUUUUAAUGGUUUUACAUUCUUCUCGAACUCUUAAAGUACAGCAUGGUCCACCUCUUUUUUUUUGUCAAAAAAAACCACUGUAUCCAUGGUAAUAACAAAAAAGAAAGCAAAAUAUGCCACUAUAAAAACCCUAUAGUAGUAAUAAUUCCUGUGACAGAAGCUCAUAUUGAAUGCAAGCAUUUUACCUCUCUUUAACAUAGUUAGAGUUUGUGAAGUAUAUAGCUGAGUCCACUCUAACAAUCAGCACCCCUGGAACCUUGGUAGCAUCAGGAUACUGUUCUACAUUCCUGUAUAUAGUUGUUCGUGGAAGGUUUCCAAGUAAAACUGUUCUUGGCCGUGUUACUUGGAGAAGAAUUUUAGCAAGAGAUAUUGCAACCUAUUCACAAAAGGUUUUACAGACAUCAGCUCAUUGUCUACUACUCUCUCUGUUCCAAAUUAUAAUGCAUUUCAAUUUUCUUGGAGAGUCAAAAGAUCUUAAGUUUGACUAAAACUAUAGAGCAAAUUACAAAUAUUUAUGACAUCAAAUAGGUAUGCUAUGAAAAUAUAAUUAAUGAAGAAUAUAAUGAUACUUAUUCUGUAGCAUAUAUGUUAUUGUUUUAUUACAUAAAUUCGGUCAAACUUGAGAUCCUUUGACUCUCCAAGAAAGUUUGAACAACCUAUAAUUUGGGACUGAGAAUAUAUAUAGGAACUCAAUUGUUGGUAGCAUAAACGAAAUAGUUGCGAUUCAUACCGCAAUGAGCAAGCCAUACUCCACCGAUGAAAAUAUGACUCCAAAAAAUGCUCCCAUGCAUGCUAGAAAGUCCAGUUUGUCAACUUUCCAGAUAAGGUAAGCCGAUUCAUAGUCAAUUAAACCAAGCACUGCUGAUAUGAUGAUCGAGGAAAGGAUGGCAUUUGGAGUGUACUUGAACAAUGGGGUGAUCAGUAGCAAAGUAAGCAUUACGACAAUUGACAUAACAACGUUUGACACUGCUGUUUUGCAGCCAGCCAUGUAAUUAACUGCUGACCGCGAGAAAGAACCUGCAAUGAACGACUUCUGUCAAAAGGAUGAUGCAUCUGUAUGGUGCAAUGAAUUGUUAGUUUUUUUCUGAAUUAAUUGGUACCUGUGGCUACGUAGCAAGAAGUCAGUGAACCAACAAUGUUCAUGGUCCCUAGAGCCAUCAUUUCUUUGUUCCCAUCUAUCUGGUAAUCCUUGAGGGCUGCAAAUGUUCUUCCAAUUGCAAUCGCUUCCUGAUAAAGUUUGCAUCAGUUGAAUAAUUAGCACAUUUUUUGUCAUAGAAAACUUUUCCACGUUAUCACAAUUCUGAACAUCAAAGUUUAAGAAGUCUGUUUCCCUAGCAAAGGGUCUGUCUCACCGUUAGGCCUAUCAUUCCAGCUACUAUCCCAAUUUUGAAUCCUGUCGCCAAGUAUGGGCCGGUGAAGUAUAUUAGACUAGCUGAAGGUGGGUUGAUGCCUUUCCUUAUGUUCUUG